This 288-nucleotide long non-coding RNA is filed under the name Mytilus galloprovincialis (Mediterranean mussel). Lineage: Eukaryota; Metazoa; Mollusca; Bivalvia; Mytilida; Mytilidae. The record is from RNAcentral.
AAAAAAUAAGAGAAUAAUGCGUAAAAAAUCACUUUCAAAAAAUAGAUUAUUUUUUUUCGCCGAGCGCAGCUAGAUACGACUGCAGAAGUCCAAUCCUCUGUUUUUAGACUAUAGACAAAGAAAUAGCAAAAUAAAUUGUGAAUAAUCCUUAAAUUUAAAAAAAAAAAAAAAAUUGACCCCCCACCCCUAAAAAUAUUUUACCCCCAAUUUUUUUUCCAAAAAAACUGGUAAUUUCGUAAAUCUGGAAGAAAAAAAAGUUUGGCCCCCCAUUUUUUUUUACCCCCCCCC